GAUGAACGCUGGCGGCGUGCCUAAUACAUGCAAGUCGAGCGAACAGAUAAGGAGCUUGCUCCUUUGACGUUAGCGGCGGACGGGUGAGUAACACGUGGGUAACCUACCUAUAAGACUGGGAUAACUUCGGGAAACCGGAGCUAAUACCGGAUAACAUUUGGAACCGCAUGGUUCUAAAGUGAAAGAUGGUUUUGCUAUCACUUAUAGAUGGACCCGCGCCGUAUUAGCUAGUUGGUAAGGUAACGGCUUACCAAGGCAACGAUACGUAGCCGACCUGAGAGGGUGAUCGGCCACACUGGAGCUGAGACACGGUCCAGACUCCUACGGGAGGCAGCAGUAGGGAAUCUUCCGCAAUGGGCGAAAGCCUGACGGAGCAACGCCGCGUGAGUGAUGAAGGGUUUCGGCUCGUAAAACUCUGUUAUUAGGGAAGAACAAAUGUGUAAGUAACUGUGCACGUCUUGACGGUACCUAAUCAGAAAGCCACGGCUAACUACGUG
This 497-nucleotide ribosomal RNA is filed under the name uncultured bacterium. RNAcentral describes it as "partial 16S ribosomal RNA". It matches the Rfam family "Bacterial small subunit ribosomal RNA", at positions 28 to 507 of the family's 1533-position model. The record is from RNAcentral.